AUUCCCCUAGUAACUGCGAGUGAAGCGGGAAAAGCUCAAAUUUAAAAUCUGAGGGUCCUUGCGGCCUUCCGAGUUGUAAUCUAGAGAAGUGCUAUCCGCGCUGGACCGUGUACAAGUCUCCUGGAACGGAGCGUCAUAGAGGGUGAGAAUCCCGUCUUUGACACGGACUACCAGGGCUUAUGUGAUGCGCUCUCAAAGAGUCGAGUUGUUUGGGAAUGCAGCUCUAAAUGGGUGGUAAAUUCCAUCUAAAGCUAAAUAUUGGCGAGAGACCGAUAGCGAACAAGUACCGUGAGGGAAAGAUGAAAAGAACUUUGGAAAGAGAGUUAAACAGUACGUGAAAUUGUUGAAAGGGAAACGCUUGAAGUCAGUCGCGUUGGCCAGGAAUCAACCUUGCUUUUGCUUGGCGUACUUUCUGGUUAACGGGUCAGCAUCAAUUUUGAUCGGUGGAUAAAGGUCAGGGGAAUGUGGCAUCUUCGGAUGUGUUAUAGCCUCUGGUUGCAUACAUCGGUUGGGAUUGAGGAACUCAGCACGCCGCAAGGCCGGGUUUUUAACCACGUACGUGCUUAGGAUGCUGGCAUAAUGGCUUUAAUCGACCCGUCUUGAAACACGGACCAAGGAGUCUAACAUGCACGCGAGUGUUUGGGUGGAAAACCCGAGCGCGUAAUGAAAGUGAAAAUUGAGAUCCCUGUCGUGGGGAGCAUCGAUGCCUGGACUUGAUCUUUUGUGACGGUUCCACGGUUGAGCGUGUAUGCUGGGACCCGAAAGAUGGUGAACUAUGCCUGAAUAGGGUGAAGCCAGAGGAAACUCUGGUGGAGGCUCGUAGCGAUUCUGACGUGCAAAUCGAUCGUCAAAUUUGGGUAUAGGGGCGAAAGACUAAUCGAACCAUCUAGUAGCUGGUGCCUGCC
Molecule: ribosomal RNA, 905 nt
Filed under: Tricholoma vaccinum
Lineage: Eukaryota; Fungi; Basidiomycota; Agaricomycetes; Agaricales; Tricholomataceae
Description: eukaryotic LSU rRNA
Rfam family: Eukaryotic large subunit ribosomal RNA
Source: RNAcentral